Non-coding RNA from Schistosoma mansoni, 46 nucleotides. Lineage: Eukaryota; Metazoa; Platyhelminthes; Trematoda; Strigeidida; Schistosomatidae. The record is from Rfam.
GCACUGCUGAGGAGUCCCAAAAUAGGACGAAACGGCCGUCCAGUGU